UACGAAGGGGGCUAGCGUUGCUCGGAAUUACUGGGCGUAAAGGGAGCGUAGGUGGACAGUUUAGUCAGAGGUGAAAGCCCAGGGCUCAACCUUGGAAUUGCCUUUGAUACUGGCUGUCUUGAGUACGGAAGAGGUAUGUGGAACUCCGAGUGUAGAGGUGAAAUUCGUAGAUAUUCGGAAGAACACCAGUGGCGAAGGCGACAUACUGGUCCGUUACUGACACUGAGGCUCGAAAGCGUGGGGAGCAAACAGG
Molecule: ribosomal RNA, 253 nt
Filed under: uncultured bacterium
Lineage: Bacteria
Description: partial 16S ribosomal RNA
Rfam family: Bacterial small subunit ribosomal RNA
Source: RNAcentral